Long non-coding RNA from Panthera uncia (snow leopard), 1049 nucleotides. RefSeq lists it as uncharacterized. Lineage: Eukaryota; Metazoa; Chordata; Mammalia; Carnivora; Felidae. The record is from RefSeq and is a predicted model, not a curated record. The transcript is spliced from 2 exons.
UUUUUCCUACAGGAUUGGGAAGUAAGUUUAUUCUCAGGACCCACAUCUCCCUUGUCACCAGGAAAGGUAUUUCGCUGGAAGGUAAUGGGGAGAUGGGUGUCCUGAGGCACCACUGGGGACUGUGCACACUGGCACAGGCCAGGGGAAAGAUACAGGGCACAGCUCAUCAAGGAAAUUUACAAAUGUCCAUGCUCCCUGACCUAGGGGUUCCAAAUGAAGACAAAGGCACAAAGAUGCUCAUCAAAGUGAUAUGAACCACAGCAAAUAUGUAUCGUAGCAAAAAUCUGGAAAUAAUCUACAUGCCCAGUCAUCAUGGAAUAAACACUGGUUACAUCCACUAUAUUCCGUAAAUACUGGACAUCACUGAAAACUCUACUGCGACACAAGAACAACAUAAGUGAAGACUCCAGGGUGCAAACUAGCAUUUCUUGUAAUAACAAUGAUGUAAAAUUCUGUCCCUAAGUGGACAGAAUUGGAAGUAUAGAACCAAGUAUGUGAGAGCUUCUGGGUUAAGGUGAUGUACUUAGGAGCAGGGCUCUUGUUUAUAAUAAAAACAGGAAAAGCGCGCGACAUUGCCAAGCAACUGACAUUGCCAACAUGAUUCUGUGAGUGGAGGCAGGCUCUGUCCUCAGGUGGGCAGGGGGCCCCUGGCAGCUGUUCCCACUAACCCUGUCCCAAGGUACCCACAGCACCUUGGAUGUACCAAUGGCAUCACUUCCUCAUUCACUCAAGCUCUUACACACACUGCCCAGCCAACACUGUCUAAGCACCUACUUUCCUAGGCACUGGGACAGAAAGCUGGAUGUGAGCCCUGCUGGGAGGCCCAGUCUGGAGAAAGGAAACAUGAAGGCCAGAAGCCAAUAAUCCUCACAGGGUGAUUAUGAUGAGGAAAUGAGAUCAUGCAUGUGAAACACCUACCCUGCCACAUGGCUGAUAAUCCAGUGUUCACCAGAGCAGUGGCCUAGCAGCCACUGGCUAGAAGUCUGCUCACCUUUCUGAUUCAGGAACUCAACUCCAUCAAUAAAGGACAUCUCUCAACAGUCUGAGGA